GGUGGCUCAAACCCUACCGGUGAGGGGACCGGUCUUGAAAACCGGUGAGCACUGCGUCUCUUGUCGGUUCGAGUCCGACAGCCACCG
RNAcentral lists this small RNA (87 nucleotides) under Haloarcula vallismortis. RNAcentral describes it as "tRNA_Ser_TGA". It matches the Rfam family "Selenocysteine transfer RNA". Lineage: Archaea; Methanobacteriati; Methanobacteriota; Halobacteria; Halobacteriales; Haloarculaceae. The record is from RNAcentral. RNAcentral also lists the same sequence under 1 other name.